This 254-nucleotide ribosomal RNA is filed under the name uncultured prokaryote. RNAcentral's name for it is "partial 16S ribosomal RNA". It matches the Rfam family "Bacterial small subunit ribosomal RNA", at positions 525 to 777 of the family's 1533-position model. The record is from RNAcentral.
ACAGAGGGCGUGAGCGUUGUCCGGAAUCACUGGGCGUAAAGGGCGCGUAGGUGGCCACCAUAAGGCCGCGGUGAAAGCUUGGGGCUCAACCACAGAAUUGCCUUCGAUACUGCGAGGCUUGAGACCGGAAGAGGUUAGUGGAACUGCGAGUGUAGAGGUGAAAUUCGUAGAUAUUCGCAAGAACACCAGUGGCGAAGGCGGCUGACUGGUCCGGUUCUGACGCUGAGGCGCGAAAGCGUGGGGAGCAAACAGGA